Chelonia mydas (Green sea turtle) is the source of this 1313-nucleotide long non-coding RNA. RefSeq lists it as uncharacterized. The record is from RefSeq and is a predicted model, not a curated record. The transcript has 3 exons. NCBI's taxonomy places the organism in Eukaryota, Metazoa, Chordata, Testudines, Cheloniidae.
GAAGCCCCUACCCCACAACCCUGCUCCAAGGCAGAGGUCCUGAGCUUCCCCUCCACCACCAUCUGUUCCUUGGGCUGUUUUUGUUGAAGAGUACAAUAGCUUUUUCCUCUCUUUUUAAAAAACAAACAACUUUGGGUCAUUAAUUACUUCCACCAGCACAUCAUCUGAAGUAAGCAGAGCAAUAUCCACACAUGCUUCCCCAUCUUCCCCUUCAACAAAUUAGUCCAUAAAAGAAUGCAUUCAAGUAGCAAGAUACUGGAGUUGAUCUGAUGGGUUGCAAGUGCAGAGGAAAGGAACUGUAAGCUGUACCACUCUAUUAAAAUGAACUUGCUGCCCCUUAAAAAAACCUAGUGGCGGCUUCCUUCAGCUUUUCAAAGGCUCUUUAACUGGCCCAGCCAAUCCAGGAUGCCUCCUGCAGAAAGGCUCGGUUCUUUGGUUGGCCAGGCCAGAGACAUCAGCUCAGCCUGUUGCUGGCAGAGAACAGAAUUCCUCCAACUCAAUGCAAGAUUGUAGAAACUUCUUUUUGAUGCAUUUGGAUUUAUGUUGUGGCCACUAAUCUGUCCUAAAUAGGGGGCUACUCUCCUAGGCACAGCACCUAUUUGACUAGAAGUUUCCCUCUGUAAAUGGGUGCUAGAUGUUUAUUUAGCUUUGUUAUAUUUUCUCUAUUUUUUGUCUGUACUGUGACUUUCAUUCCUUAAGGUAUGUCUACACUCUGGACCUUACAGCAGGACAGCUGUACCACUACAACUGUGCCAUUGUAAGGUCUCCCAUGUAGCCACUCUUUGCUGGCAGGAGAGCGCUCUCCUGCCAGCAUAAUUAAACCACCCCCAACAAGCAGUGUUAACUACGUCAGCAGGAGAGACUCUCCAGCUGACAUAACAUUGUCCACGCCAGCGCUUUUGCCAGUGAAACUUAUGUCAGUCGGGAAAGGGGUAUUUUGUUGGUCAGUGGCGUGAAAAAAGUUUUACCGACAAAAGUGGUAGUGUAGACAAAGCCUUAGUUCUCUUCUUAUAUUUCUCGGGUAAGGGGGGGCCAAAAUUUCAGAAGAGCCACGUUCCCAUUUAGUUACCAAGUGAGAACAAUGGGAGUUGCUGGAUGCUGAGCAAGAGCUACCCCUUUUAUUUAGACGCUUAAAUAAGAGCUGAGCACACUUCUGAAAAUCUGACCUGUGAUAGACAAACUUAUAGGCUUUCCUCACACUUUACUCCAUGGCUCUCUACUGAUUACAGUCCCCAAUAGUCCUUAAUCAGCAAGCAGUCCUAAACAAAUUAUCAUUCAUCUCACUGCUGUGUUAAGUCCUGCAAAUACCCCUA